Molecule: unclassified non-coding RNA, 434 nt
Filed under: soil metagenome
Description: partial contains 5.8S ribosomal RNA, internal transcribed spacer 2, and large subunit ribosomal RNA
Rfam family: 5.8S ribosomal RNA (bases 6-121)
Source: RNAcentral
GAUGAAAGAACGUAGCGAAAUGCGAUACGUAAUGUGAAUUGCAGAAUUCAGUGAAUCAUCGAAUCUUUGAACGCAUAUUGCGCUCUCUGGUAUUCCGGAGAGCAUGCUUGUUUGAGUAUCAGUAAACACCUCAACUUCCAUAUCUUUUUUGAAAUGGGAGUUGGACUUGAGUGAUCCCAACGCUUUUCCUCACCGAAAAGUGGCGGGUUACUUGAAAUGCAGGUGCAGCUGGACUUUUCUCUGAGCUAUAAGCAUAUCUAUUUAGUCUGCCUAAAAAACAGAUUAUUACCUUUGCUGCAGCUAACAUAAAGGAGAUUAGUUCUUGUGCUGACUGAUGCAGGAUUCACAAAGACAGGCUUCGGCCGACUUUGUAAACUCGAUCUCAAAUCAAGUAAGACUACCCGCUGAACUUAAGCAUAUCAAUAAGCGGAGGA